GGGUAUAUAGCUCAGUGGUUGAGUGCAUGCCUAACAUGCAUGAGGUCCUGGGAUCAAUUUGCAGUACUUCCA
RNAcentral lists this transfer RNA (72 nucleotides) under Camelus bactrianus (Bactrian camel). It matches the Rfam family "tRNA". Rfam says of the family: Transfer RNA (tRNA) molecules are approximately 80 nucleotides in length. Their secondary structure includes four short double-helical elements and three loops (D, anti-codon, and T loops). Further hydrogen bonds mediate the characteristic L-shaped molecular structure. tRNAs have two regions of fundamental functional importance: the anti-codon, which is responsible for specific mRNA codon recognition, and the 3' end, to which the tRNAs corresponding amino acid is attached (by aminoacyl-tRNA synthetases). tRNAs cope with the degeneracy of the genetic code in two manners: having more than one tRNA (with a specific anti-codon) for a particular amino acid; and 'wobble' base-pairing, i.e. permitting non-standard base-pairing at the 3rd anti-codon position. RNAcentral also lists the same sequence under 2 other names. Lineage: Eukaryota; Metazoa; Chordata; Mammalia; Artiodactyla; Camelidae. The record is from Rfam by way of RNAcentral.